GACACAGUUAUUAAUGAAAGAGAAAGUAAACAAAGAGAGCCUCUCAAUGUUAGAUAGGUCCUUUAGUAAUGUUCCGCGAGAUUUCUCGUAAAGGUACACCAGGGUAGCACCACUUUUGUUAAUCCCUGAACAAUGUUUAGGUCAGCAAUGCGUCAGAACAUUGACGAUAGCACACUGAAAAGUGAAUAUUUUCGGGGAACGAUGUAUUCAGUACAGUAUUCAAACAAACUAAAAUUGGAAGAAUAAUAAACACAUUUAUCUGUAUACCCUGUUCAACGUGUUCGUGCAAAGCGUUUGAUGUGUGCCAGACGUGUGUGGCAAAGAUUGAUCGAGAAAUGAAGGUAUAGAUAUAGAAUAAUUAAUUAUGACGACUGGUCGCAAACUUGUCUCGACUGGACUACUCAUGACGCCCACACAAAAUGAUGUACUAGAAUGCCAUGCACGUAAGUGAUGACAACUUCCGUGGAUAAUCCGUGGGAGUGUUUCCGGAUUCCGAAUUGAUUGGUCAUUAGCCAGAUUCACACAUGUAUGGCGUUUAAGAAAUCUUAAACCCUCUGCUUCCAUAAUUAUUUACGUAAUUGAUGGACGAUUUCUAGUGCGGAGUCAUUGAACGAUUAAAUGCACAAUUGCAUUUAAGUGAAUGCCUUCUUCCGGUUUUGUUAGUUAGAAAA
Aedes aegypti (yellow fever mosquito) is the source of this 671-nucleotide long non-coding RNA. RefSeq lists it as uncharacterized. The record is from RefSeq and is a predicted model, not a curated record. Lineage: Eukaryota; Metazoa; Arthropoda; Insecta; Diptera; Culicidae. The transcript has 2 exons.